GAACGCGAAGAACCUUACCAUCCCUUGACAUGGCAUGUUACCUCGGGAGACCGGGGAUCCUCUUCGGAGGCGUGCACACAGGUGCUGCAUGGCUGUCGUCAGCUCGUGUCGUGAGAUGUUGGGUUAAGUCCCGCAACGAGCGCAACCCACGUCCUUAGUUGCCAUCAUUCAGUUGGGCACUCUAGGGAGACUGCCGGUGAUAAGCCGCGAGGAAGGUGUGGAUGACGUCAAGUCCUCAUGGCCCUUACGGGAUGGGCUACACACGUGCUACAAUGGCGGUGACAGUGGGACGCGAAACCGCGAGGUCGAGCAAAUCCCCAAAAACCGUCUCAGUUCGGAUUGCACUCUGCAACUCGGGUGCAUGAAGGCGGAAUCGCUAGUAAUCGUGGAUCAGCACGCCACGGUGAAUACGUUCCCGGGUCUUGUACACACC
Molecule: ribosomal RNA, 433 nt
Filed under: uncultured bacterium
Lineage: Bacteria
Description: bacterial SSU rRNA
Rfam family: Bacterial small subunit ribosomal RNA
Source: RNAcentral